UCUUGUUCAACCCUCUUCCCUCCCUCUUCCCACGGAGGACUAAGAGAUGAGCCUAAUGGGUGACAGUGGCCUGGUACCCAGUCUGUGGCCUGAGGAUACAGGAAGGGUGGGGAAGCCUCUCGUAAAGCAGCUGGAUGUCUAAGCUUGCGAUCGGUGGGCUUGCAGGUUCUGUUUCUCUGUGUGUGUGUUUCGGUAAUUCAUUUUCCUGGUGUUUUACAGAAGGAUUCCUUCAAGAUGGAUUGAGGACCAGAAGAACAAUAAUGACAACAGUUUCUUGGGCGGAAGCCGUUGCCUGGGAGAGUUACAACUCAUUCAGUCACAUGACCGUCAGGGCGGCCUGUCUGCUCCUAUUCCCUCCCCACAAGUCUUCCCUCAGAAGCCCUAAGAUGGUCUCAGAGACCUCAGGAACCCCAGUUUAUUCUCCAGCCUCUGCCCUGACAGGAAGAGAAGAUGAUUUUUCUUGUGGGCUUUAGCCUUUUGCUUUCCUGCAAGGGCGUGCUGUGUGACGAGGUGACCCAGAGCUCCCCAGACCAGACAGUGGCCAGUGGCAGUAAGGUGACACUGCUCUGCACUUAUUACACUACACAGUCAAACCCGGACUUAUACUGGUACCGAAUACGGCCAGAUCACGCCUUUCAGUUUAUCCUUUACAGAGAUAACACUCGAUCCAAAAAUGCAGAUUUUACUGGGCAUCGGUUUUCUGUGCUGCAUGAUCAGUCCCGGAGAACCUUCCAUUUAGUGAUCUCCCCGGUGGAGCCUGAAGACAGUGCCACUUACUACUGUGCCAUGAACCCCCACAGUGUCGCAGGUGCUCAGGAAGGCUGAACGUAAACCCGGGCACAGCCUCCUCGAGCUACCUCUCAGGGGAUCCUUCUUCCCAGUUAUUUUGUGUCCCGGCCUGGCCUUCGGAGGUGCCCUAAAGGGUCUACUAAAUAAUAAAAAGCCAGCUCCCCCUGGCUUCAGCUGGAGCGGAGCACCUCCCCCUUUCUGACUCAGUGGGCCCUGGUGGCAGCAGAGGGGGAGAGGUACGUCUGAAGAAGUCUCAUCUGUGUGUCCCCAGUGCCCCGCUCACUCACGCCUGACAGCGCAGGGCUGACAUGCAUGUGCUGCGAGUCCUGUGACGGUG
Molecule: non-coding RNA, 1126 nt
Organism: Ailuropoda melanoleuca (giant panda)
Lineage: Eukaryota; Metazoa; Chordata; Mammalia; Carnivora; Ursidae
Source: the annotation of a RefSeq genome assembly